GAAAUCUACUGAGAAAUUGGUGAAAAAACUUGACAGUCAAUUACAAAAUUAUAUUACAUCAAAUGAUUCAAAAAUAUAGGAUAUGAAUAAAAAGAGAUCUCUGGUGGAUAAACUUCUCUUGAAUUAUGAUGGAAUUUUGGGGAGUCCUCCAGCUGGUAUCAAUUGGCAAAAGGAUUUGGCAACAGAACAAGAUUGGGUGAACAAUAUUAUGGCACCAUGGCAAGGUUUCAGUUGAAUAAUUACAAUCAUAGGGUGGAGUUUCCAUACUUUGACGAAAUAGAUUCUCGCACUUGGUUGAGGAAGCGUGAAAGACUUCCUUUUUAAUCAUGUGACUGACCCACAACAAAGCUGGAGAUGGUUGUUCUUCACCUUAAUGAUAAGGCCGAAUCUUGAUUGUUCUCCUAUAAUUUGAGUAAAGGGACAAUCAGGUAGACUAAUUUUACUGAAGAACUAUGCACAAGAUUCAUUGAAUCUGAUAGCCACUUCAAUCUAAUGGAAAAAUUUAAAGAAUUGAGUAAAAGGGUAUAGUUACUGAAUACCUAGAGAAGUUCGAAGAUCUUAAGGCUUGGAUCUCUAUUAGAAAUCCCACCAUCCCUGAGGAUUUCUUCUUGGGAUACUUUAUUCAAGGGUUGAAGGAUGAGAUCAAGCAAUGCUGUCAAAAUGCUUGCUCCAUUUACCUUCAACCAGAUUGUUGAGAAAGCAAAGACAUUAAGAGGAAUUGUUAGAUACUGCGAGUAGAAAGAACAUGGUAACAUGGAGUAAAAAUAUUUUACAGGCUAAUAAUCAUCCAUACACUACUAGGAAUAGAAUUUGGGGGCAAGGCCAUAAGGAAAGAAAUUCCAGUUCAGCUCUUGCUGGUACUAAAUUGUGUGAGGCUAGAAAAACACAAUAGUUGUGAUAAUAAAUGUGGCGGCAAGUAUUUUCCAAGGCAUGAAUGUAAGACUAAGCAAAUCAAUGUUAUUUCUGCUUUAAUGGAGAAUACUGAAGAUGAGAAACAAGGAAUUAUUCUAGAGGAGGAGGGCUAUAAUGUUGAAUAUCAGGACGCAUGUGGUUAUGGAUGAAGCUAGCAGUUUAAAUACAUUAGAUGGUACUGAAGUUCCUAAUACCAUACAUUUGCAAGGAGAAGUUAGAAGGAAGACUUUGACUAUUUUACUAGACUCUGAUAGCACCCACAGUUUUCUUGACCUUGAGACAGAUAAAUAGAUAGGUUGCUAGUAAAACUGCACGUACGAGGGUAACAAUAGCUGAUGGAUACCACUUGAUGAGUCUACAUACAUGGCCUUAGUUCAGAUG
RNAcentral lists this long non-coding RNA (1293 nucleotides) under Nicotiana tabacum (common tobacco). Its description in RNAcentral is "long non-coding RNA (NTAB_LNC010385)". Lineage: Eukaryota; Viridiplantae; Streptophyta; Magnoliopsida; Solanales; Solanaceae. The record is from RNAcentral.